This is a small nuclear RNA of Monodelphis domestica (gray short-tailed opossum), 107 nucleotides long. The record is from Ensembl. Lineage: Eukaryota; Metazoa; Chordata; Mammalia; Didelphimorphia; Didelphidae.
GUGUUUUGGCAGCACAUAUAUUCAAAUCGGAAGGAUACCGAUAUUAGCAUGGCCCCGGCGCCAUGAGCAAGGGUGACACGCAAAUUCCUGAAGCAUUCCAUAUUUUU